RNAcentral lists this long non-coding RNA (1312 nucleotides) under Monodelphis domestica (gray short-tailed opossum). Its description in RNAcentral is "lncRNA (ENSMODG00000043644.1)". Lineage: Eukaryota; Metazoa; Chordata; Mammalia; Didelphimorphia; Didelphidae. The record is from RNAcentral.
CUCCCCUCUUGGAGAAAGUAAGCAAUGUAAUCUGGAUUACAAAUGUUAUAGUGCAAAUAUACUUACACAUUGUUUAUUGUUAUAAAAGAAUACUGGUAUAAAACCCCAAACCCCAAAAUAAAACCAUAAAUAAACAAAUGUGAGAAACAAAAUGUUUACAAAGGCCUUCUUGCAGAAGGUGGAUUUUAUCUGAGAACUAAAGGAAGCCAAGGAAGCUAGGAACAAGAUCAUUUUGUCAUUUUAUUUAUAGUCACAGCGCUUUGCCUGGGUUUGACCCAUAGAAAGCAAUUAAUAAGCUUUUCAUUCCUUCCUUCCUAGAAAUUUAUUUUUACUGUUUUCUAGGUGAUCCUGAUUUUUUAAAAGUCCAUCAAUGAAGGAACAAGGUUUUAGGGUAUAGCUACAGGAAUUCAGGACCAAGAUCAUCAGUUUCUGUUCCCCCUCAUUCUUCAGUGAAGCUUCAGGGCAACCUGCAUGGAUUUUAAGCUAGGAUAUGAGGAGGGAAAAUGCUUGUUCCCUGCCUUACUCAUCACUUGUGCCAUAGUCAGCCAUAGAUACAACACUCAUCAUCACUGUUUUCCAACUGAAUGUGCAAUAGAAAGAGGUCCUCCUUCUGGUUAUGCGGUAUGACUAAGGGAGAGUGUCGGCCUCCCUCUGGGCCUCAGUUUCCUCAUCUGUACAAUCAGACAGUUGGCAUGGAUUGACCUAUGAGGUCUCUUCUACUUCUAGAUUUAAGAUUUUAUGACGAUUUCUAACAACGGGAAGAAACUGGCGUCCAGAGCAUGAAGCAGAUUAAAUCUGGGGUCCCGGUUAGGAGAGAGCCUCAAAUUAGGGGCUAAAGGAAGGGCCUCGACAGGCCAUCCAGAGAGUGAUUUCCUCUCUCCCCCAAGUCUCGGGGGAAAGCGCAGUCUCACCACUGAAAAACAGAUCCAGCGCACGGCAAUAGACGGGGUAAUCGAGCCUCCCGGACCCCAGCCCCGGAAGUGACGCAACCGCGACGAGCCAUUUCCGGCUCAGGCGUCGGCGGCGUUUGCCGGAGGAAGGAGCCCGAGGGAGUCGCGUCGGUCUGAUUCCCUACGCCGCCGGUCCCUUCCUUCUAGUCCCCCGUCUCGCCCCGGCCUGGCCUGGCCCGGCCCGGGGCACAUCGGCCGCGGGGACCCCGGCGCCCGGAUGGAAAUCAUACGGUAUAGAGUGUUUGGGUGACAUCUACUUGGCAGAUCUUCAAGAAACUCUGAAGACAGAAGUACCUAAUGAAUUUGAGACAGAAGUAAAGUUUGGGGGGAGGGGGGAAGACAGCAACUGCUUUCCUGAUCUG